CACGUAGGGCGCAAGCGUUGUCCGGAAUUAUUGGGCGUAAAGAGCUCGUAGGCGGUCUGUUGCGUCCGCUGUGAAAACUCGGGGCUUAACCCCGAGCCUGCAGUGGAUACGGGCAGACUAGAGGUAGGUAGGGGAGAAUGGAAUUCCUGGUGUAGCGGUGAAAUGCGCAGAUAUCAGGAAGAACACCCGUGGCGAAGGCGGCUCUCUGGUACGUGACUGACGCUGAGACGCGAAAGCGUGGGGAGCAAACAGG
This 253-nucleotide ribosomal RNA is filed under the name uncultured bacterium. Its description in RNAcentral is "partial 16S ribosomal RNA". It matches the Rfam family "Bacterial small subunit ribosomal RNA", at positions 524 to 776 of the family's 1533-position model. The record is from RNAcentral.